AGCAGCCGCGGUAAUUCCAGCUCCAAUAGCGCAUAUUAAAGUUGUUGCGGUUAAAAAGCUCGUAGUUGAAUUUCGGGAUCAAUAUUUCGGUCAUGCCGUUGGUAUGCACUGUUAUCAUUGAUUUCUCACCUUCUAAAGAACCGUAAUGCCAUUAAUUUGGUGUUACGGGGAAUUAGGACUGUUACCUUGAAAAAUUAGAGUGUUUAAAGCAGGCUCACGCUUGAAUACAUUAGCAUGGAAUAAUGAAAUAGGACGUUUGAUUCUAUUUUGUUGGUUUCUAGGAUCGACGUAAUGAUUAAUAGGGAUAGUUGGGGGCAUUAGUAUUCAAUUGUCAGAGGUGAAAUUCUUGGAUUUAUUGAAGACUAACUACUGCGAAAGCAUUUGCCAAGGAUGUUUUCAUUAAUCAAGAACGAAAGUUAGGGGAUCGAAGACGAUCAGAUACCGUCGUAGUCUUAACCAUAAACUAUGCCGACUAGGGAUCGGAUGAUGUUAAUUUU
Molecule: small RNA, 497 nt
Filed under: uncultured Glomus
Lineage: Eukaryota; Fungi; Glomeromycota; Glomeromycetes; Glomerales; Glomeraceae
Description: SSU rRNA
Rfam family: Eukaryotic small subunit ribosomal RNA
Source: RNAcentral